This 782-nucleotide long non-coding RNA is filed under the name Ananas comosus (pineapple). Its description in RNAcentral is "long non-coding RNA (ACOM_LNC013432)". Lineage: Eukaryota; Viridiplantae; Streptophyta; Magnoliopsida; Poales; Bromeliaceae. The record is from RNAcentral.
AAAAAGCUUCUUUAUAUAUUACACCCCAAAACACUAUUCACUUCCGGGCAGUUCGAAAUUUGAUAUCUUUCGCCGGAACUCCCUGAACAUCCGUUUAAGCUCAAAUUUGACAGUCAUAUUUGGUUUUACUUAACGAGUCCAAAGAAAUUUUAAUAUUUCAGUUUCGACCCCGUUUGGUCACCGAAAGCUGUACCGAACUAUAAUCUUUAUCAGAUAGUUGUCAGAUUUUAUUUUCCACCUUCCGGGUGUCAGAAUAGUAUGAAACUUUAAAUCUAGCCUCAUAAAAAUAAUUCUGGCUUAUCCUCCAGUUUUCAUAAUUUUCUAACACUGUGCAUUUUCUGCUAAUUUAUCUGUCCCGUUUCCAACAGAAAAUUCUAAAUCUUCUAUUUUCAUUCCGAUUUCAGCACAAGUCACUUCUGACUUAUGUUUUACUUUUCUAAAUCCAAUAAAAUAGUUUCUCAUACUAUUUUUAUUUAUUUUUAUUUUUAUACCAAAAUCUGGUAUGUUACAGUUGCCACCCAUUUGUUUUCGAUAAUGGAGCCUCCAAAUGAACGAUCGGAACCAUUGAACAUGAUCUAUACCACUUGAAGUGUUUAGAAAUCAAAUUUCAAAUCUUUUCGACAUCAUUUGCCUAAUGAUCAAAGGGUUUCAAAAUUUGUAAUUUUAAUGGUUCAUAUGAGGCGUUUUCUUGUUAACGGCGUAAAGAUAUCCAAAUCAAUUGAAUUUUUGUUAGAAAAUUUUUUAAACUAUUUAAAACAAGAUCUAUACUCUUCAUCUUGAUU